AUUGAACGCUAGCGGCAGGCCUAAUACAUGCAAGUCGGACGGGAUUGGAGAGCUUGCUUUCCAUGAGAGUGGCGCACGGGUGCGUAACACGUAUGUAACCUACCUUUAUCAGGGGGAUAGCCUCUCGAAAGAGAGAUUAACACCGCAUAAAAUCACAGAACGGCAUCGUUUAAUGAUCAAAUAUUUAUAGGAUAAAGAUGGCCAUGCGGGACAUUAGCUAGAUGGUGAGGUAACGGCUCACCAUGGCCAUGAUGUCUAGGGGAUCUGAGAGGAUGGCCCCCCACACGGGUACUGAGACACGGACCAGACUCCUACGGGAGGCAGCAGUAAGGAAUAUUGGUCAAUGGACGGAAGUCUGAACCAGCCAUGCCGCGUGCAGGAAAACGGCCCUACGGGUUGUAAACUGCUUUUGUACGGGAAUAAACCCAGAUACGAGUAUCUGGCUGAAUGUACUGUAAGAAUAAGGAUCGGCUGACUCCGUGCCAGCAGCCGCGGUAA
This 498-nucleotide ribosomal RNA is filed under the name uncultured bacterium. RNAcentral's name for it is "partial 16S ribosomal RNA". It matches the Rfam family "Bacterial small subunit ribosomal RNA", at positions 30 to 523 of the family's 1533-position model. The record is from RNAcentral.